GGGCCUGUAGCUCAGCGGUUAGUAGCAGUCGACUCAUAAUCGAUUGGUCGCCGGUUCAAAUCCGGCCGGGCCCACCA
Molecule: transfer RNA, 77 nt
Filed under: Burkholderia stagnalis
Lineage: Bacteria; Pseudomonadati; Pseudomonadota; Betaproteobacteria; Burkholderiales; Burkholderiaceae
Also listed under: 1 other name
Description: tRNA-Met
Rfam family: tRNA
About the family: Transfer RNA (tRNA) molecules are approximately 80 nucleotides in length.
Source: RNAcentral